CUUGGGUCAAGAGUGACGGGCGAUUUGUGCAUGUUUUAUUUCUUUUUCUUUUUAGAUUUUCUUUCUGUAAUUAUUUUCAAGUUCUAUUUUCUCUUAAUCAUUUACAAUUCUAGUUUGUUUAUAGUAAGUGUCCCAUUAAGCUUCUAAAUAUAGACUCUGUAUUGAUUUGUCUUUUAAUCUCUUUUUAUUUUGAAGUUUCACUUUUAAAUUAAGCUUUGAGACAAUGAUAUAGAGGUUAAAAAUUUAGAAUUUUUCUUAUCGUGGGUUAUCUAUUACGGAACAGGGCCCCCUGCUUAGUAAAAACACCGCCAUAUUACACAGUUUUUAUUUAUAUAAUUAAUCCCAAUUUUUAUACUAAAA
RNAcentral lists this ribosomal RNA (360 nucleotides) under cf. Vittacus sp. S109. RNAcentral describes it as "partial small subunit ribosomal RNA". Lineage: Eukaryota; Metazoa; Arthropoda; Arachnida; Trombidiformes; Eriophyidae. The record is from RNAcentral.